RNAcentral lists this long non-coding RNA (204 nucleotides) under Elaeis guineensis (African oil palm). Its description in RNAcentral is "long non-coding RNA (EGUI_LNC025887)". Lineage: Eukaryota; Viridiplantae; Streptophyta; Magnoliopsida; Arecales; Arecaceae. The record is from RNAcentral.
AUAUUCACUACUGGUAAGUAUGGUAUGAAGCUCUCACUGAUGCCGAGUAGUCGCACAAGCAUCCGACCUUUACGGAUGGUCCACACGAAGCACCUCAGACCAAUCAGCCCUCUGCGGGGUGCUAGCUCGCACAGUCGGCUUCUGAUGGCAGAUCUGACUUGAUCUCUUUCUUUGAUCACCUUGAACCUUUUCAAUAUCGAAGAU